RNAcentral lists this ribosomal RNA (468 nucleotides) under uncultured bacterium. RNAcentral's name for it is "partial 16S ribosomal RNA". It matches the Rfam family "Bacterial small subunit ribosomal RNA", at positions 28 to 507 of the family's 1533-position model. The record is from RNAcentral.
GACGAACGCUGGCGGCGUGCUUAACACAUGCAAGUCGAACGGAAAGGCCCUGCUUUUGUCGUGUGCUCGAGUGGCGAACGGGUGAGUAACACGUGAGUAACCUGCCCUUGACUUUGGGAUAACUUCAGGAAACUGGGGCUAAUACCGGAUAGGAGCUCCUGCUGCAUGGUGGGGGUUGGAAAGUUUCGGCGGUUGGGGAUGGACUCGCGGCUUAUCAGCUUGUUGGUGGGGUAGUGGCUUACCAAGGCUUUGACGGGUAGCCGGCCUGAGAGGGUGACCGGCCACAUUGGGACUGAGAUACGGCCCAGACUCCUACGGGAGGCAGCAGUGGGGAGUAUUGCACAAUGGGCGGAAGCCUGAUGCAGCAACGCCGCGUGCGGGAUGACGGCCUUCGGGUUGUAAACCGCUUUCGCCUGUGACGAAGCGUGAGUGACGGUAAUGGGUAGAGAAGCACCGGCUAACUACGUG